This 1528-nucleotide ribosomal RNA is filed under the name metagenome. Its description in RNAcentral is "bacterial LSU rRNA". It matches the Rfam family "Bacterial large subunit ribosomal RNA", at positions 1410 to 2905 of the family's 2925-position model. The record is from RNAcentral.
CGUAGCCGAUGGACAGCAGGUUGAGAUUCCUGCCCCGCCGCGGAGCCGUUACUACCGAAGGGGUGACGCAGCAAGCUAGGCGGAUCCGGGUGAUGGAAGUCCCGGACCAAGGGAGCAGACAUGCCGCGCAGGCAAACCCGCGCGGCCGAGUUCAGACCCGAGCGGGAGCCUUUGUGAUGAAGGCGAAGCCGCCGACGCUAUACUGCCGAGAAAAGCCUCUAGGGAGGACCCGCGGCGCCCGUACCGCAGACCGACACAGGUGGGCAGGCUUAGGAGGCCAAGGUGAGCGGGAUAACUCUCGUCAAGGAACUCUGCAAGUUGACCCCGUAGCCUAGGGAGAAGGGGUGCCGCCCGCGUGAAGUCUGUACAGAUGUAAGCGUGGAGCGGCCGCAGAAACCAGGCUCAGGCGACUGUUUACUAAAAACACAGGUCUCUGCAUAAGGCGCAAGCCGAAGUAUAGGGACUGACACCUGCCCGGUGCCGGAAGGUUAAAUGGAGAGGUCAGCGCAGCGAUGCGCGAAGCUUUGAGAUGAAGCCCCGGUAAACGGCGGCCGUAACUAUAACGGUCCUAAGGUAGCGAAAUUCCUUGUCGGGUAAGUUCCGACCCGCACGAAUGGUGUAACGAUCUGAGCGCUGUCUCGACGAGAGCCCCGGUGAAAUUGUGGUCCCGGUCAAGACGCCGGGUACCCGUGGCUGGACGGAAAGACCCCAUGGAGCUUUACUGUAACCUGGCACUGGAUUUUGUCCUGUCAUGCACAGAAUAGGCGGGAGACAGAGAAGCGAGGGCUUUGGCCCUUGUGGAGUCGCCUUUGGGAUACCGCCCUUGACAUGACGGAGUUCUAACCCUUGAGUCUGAAUCGGCUGAGGGGACCCUGCCAGGCGGGCAGUUUGACUGGGGCGGUCGCCUCCCAAAGAGUAACGGAGGCGCGCGAAGGUUGCCUCGGGGCGAAUGGAAACCGCCCUUUAAGAGCGCAAGCGUAUAAGGCAGCCUGACUGAGAGACCGACGGGUCGAUCAGGGACGAAAGUCGGUGCUAGUGAUCCGGCGGUGCAGAAUGGAAUGGCCGUCGCUCAACGGAUAAAAGCUACCCUGGGGAUAACAGGCUGAUCUUGCCCGAGAGUUCCCAUCGACGGCAAGGUUUGGCACCUCGAUGUCGGCUCGUCGCAUCCUGGGGCUGAAGCAGGUCCCAAGGGUUGGUCUGUUCGCCCAUUAAAGCGGUACGUGAGCUGGGUUUAGAACGUCGUGAGACAGUUCGGUCCCUAUCCGCCACGGGCGCAGGGUAUUUGAGGAGAUCUGCUUCUAGUACGAGAGGACCGAAGUGGACGAACCGCUGGUGUACCGGUUGUGACGCCAGUUGCAUACGCCGGGUAGCUAUGUUCGGACCGGAUAACCGCUGAAGGCAUCUAAGCGGGAAGCCGUCUUCAAGAUAAGAUACCCCGUUUCGUAAGGAAGUAAGGCGUCCCGUAGACUACGGGUUUGAUAGGCCGGAGGUGUAAGCGCAGCGAUGCGUUGAGCUGACCGGUACUAAU